This is a small nuclear RNA of Nannospalax galili (Upper Galilee mountains blind mole rat), 164 nucleotides long. Its record names the gene U1. It matches the Rfam family "U1 spliceosomal RNA". Rfam says of the family: U1 is a small nuclear RNA (snRNA) component of the spliceosome (involved in pre-mRNA splicing). Its 5' end forms complementary base pairs with the 5' splice junction, thus defining the 5' donor site of an intron. The record is from Ensembl. Lineage: Eukaryota; Metazoa; Chordata; Mammalia; Rodentia; Spalacidae.
GUACGGACCUGGCAGGGGAGACACGGUGAUCAGGAAGGUGGUUCUACCUGGGCGAGGCUCAUCCAUUGCUUUUGAGGUGUGCUGAUCCCUGCGAUUUCCCCAAAUGCGGGAAACUCGACUGCAUAAUUUAUAGUAAUGGAGGACUGCGUUCGCGCUCUCCUUUU